This is a long non-coding RNA of Oryzias melastigma (Indian medaka), 2135 nucleotides long. RefSeq lists it as uncharacterized. The record is from RefSeq and is a predicted model, not a curated record. The transcript has 4 exons. NCBI's taxonomy places the organism in Eukaryota, Metazoa, Chordata, Actinopteri, Beloniformes, Adrianichthyidae.
GAAAGCUGUCAUUAAACCUGUGCAGCAGAUAAUGGACCGGGCCAGCAUGGUUCUCCCCAGUUGUUAAGAAUCAGUCAUCUGCCGCUGUCAGGAGUCUGCUGAGUCCUUCAGGACCGCUUAUCUCUGCAGCUUUGAAGACAAGCUCUGAUCCUAGAAGACAAAGACAUGCUAGUAGAUCCCAUUUUCUCAGGCCUGCCUUUUUGGGGGGGAGAAUGUUUGCUUUAGUGAAGUUUUGAAGUGGAUCGAUCUCUUAAUAUUUAAGAGAAAAAAAGAUUUAAUUGUGAAAGAUUUUGUCGCUUAUUUUUCUGUUUUGCAGAUUAGUGUUGAGGCUGCUGGCCUUGGUCUCAUUAAACACUCAAACAAACUCCUCAUUGUUUUUUUUUUUUUUUAUUACAAGCCCAUUUUAACGCACAUAUAACCCUGUCCUCUUUAAUCUCUUGUUUCUGGGGGUUCAGAAAAGUUUUUCUGGGAGAAAUGUUUGUGUCUUGAAACAAACAAACAAACCCAAUUUCAACAAUUAAGCUGUAAAAAUAAGGAAAGAUGUAUUUCCAUGUUACUUAAAUCACAAACUUUGUAAAAAUAUGCAUAUGCUCCUUUAAAAUUUAAAAAACAACACCAAAAUAUUUUUCUUUUUUUUACCUGGAGCUCUUUGUGGUCACCUUGUUGGAGGUAAAACAGGAUUUUAUGUCUGACAUGUUUUAUUACCAUUUUCAUUUUUCAGAGAAUAAAUUAAAAAGUGUUUUAGCUACACUCAAAAAAAUGAUUCAAGCCCCUCUUAAAGGUGACACAUUAAGAUUUAAUUCAUUUUGCUCAAAUUCAGUAGUUAAUCAGAAAAUUAUUUAUAUCUCAUUCAUGUUAACUAAAGUUAUUUGAUAGCAAAGAGCCUCUGAUCCAUUAACUCAAAAUUAUUCAGUUUUAUUUUGUCCGCCUCCCCGUGCGCAUGCGCAUGUGGUUCAACGGUCUCUCCCUUCCUCCAUGUCUCCUUCCCGCACUAUCAGAAGCUGCACGUCGGACUUCGGGUUUGAAAAUAGAACUAAUUCCUGAGUGAUCAUCACUGUUACCAGGAGUUAUCUGUGGCAACCUCCUUGUAAUAGUUGAUGUCUGGACUUGCAAAGCAUGCAGUUUGGAGUCAUCUAGCAGUGUGACGACAUUGACACAAGGAGGAGCAUGUUCCCAAAGGUUUGGCGAUCUACUUGACUGAAGAUCCAGACUCUUUCUUCAAGGAAUAUUUUGUAAGUUUAUCUUUCUUUAUUACCCAGCUUGAAACAGACCAUUUCACACCAAAAUGUUGUUUGAUGAGACACUGUAAUCAAUUGGUUCAAACCUAUGUCUUAUUCUUAAGAAUGCAUCAUGUCUGGAUCAUCUGAAGGUACUCAUAAGAACCUGACACUGGAGGUCACUUUAUAAUGACCAGGUUUGAAUGUUUAGGGAUUGUGGUCACUUUUGCUUUUGGAGAAGUAAAACAAAAAUGGAGCCACCUGUAGAUUUUUUUGUUUUUAAUAGUUAUUUGUUGUGUUUCAGACCUCUUCCACUGAAAACGACAUCGCAGAAAGCAUUCCAGCUACGGUCAGCCAUCUCAGAAGAAAUGGGAUUGGAUGUUGCUGUUGGAAUUGAAGGUGUCCAAGACCUCAGGAACACACAUUAGACACAUUAGAAGAACUCCUUUUCUACCAAACUAAAUUGUGGUAAUUGGCUUUGAGGUCUUUUGAAUUCCUACAAAUCCUAUAGUUUUUGCAAUUUCUUUUUCUCCUUUUUUAUUUCCCUUUUUCAAGAUCUGCUUAAAAUCUUGUAGAAAAAAAACUGGUUUUAGUUUAAAGUCCACAUUUUAUAUUUGAAAAAAAAAGUGUAUAUAUUACAAAUUGAUUUUUAAACUGUCAGGGUAUGCAUCUUCAUAUAUUGUGGAGACUGAGUUUUAUCCUCAGUUUAUUUUUACAUAUUUUCAUUCUUCAGAAGUGCUUCUAUUUUUCUUUUAUUUUGAAAUAUUAAUUUUAUAUCUAAAGUCAAUUGUAUGUUGGCACACUUUUGAAAGGGUUUCCUUGAACAUGUAAUUGUAUUUUUCAGAACUGCAUUUCAGAGACUAAAUAAUGUUGUUUUGCUGUACUUGAAUAUAAAUAAAAUUGAGUUAAUCAAAUCAA